Oreochromis aureus is the source of this 1263-nucleotide long non-coding RNA. The record is from Ensembl. Lineage: Eukaryota; Metazoa; Chordata; Actinopteri; Cichliformes; Cichlidae.
AAAUUGUCAGGUCUCAGAACACAAGCUAUCAGACAGAGAGAAAAUCUUCCUGCAGGUGGCGCUGUUGUCACGUCCCACCAAUGACUGUAGUGACAGCUGCAGUCACAGAGAAACUUGCGUAUCUCUGUUCGGGAAUAGCAGAUAGAGCGUAGGCUCUGAGAGGAGGGCCAGCGUUUACGCUUCGAAAACACGACCGAGUGUUUUAACCUGACAGCCUGAGGUGUUCUUCAGUAAACUGGACUACCCGACAGAAGGACCCGAGGCCCCGCUGCACUGUUUCGGGGCUGCCCUCAGAUUCAGACCUCAGCACCAUCCAGUGACAGCAGACAGAUCAUCCAACAUGUUCACUGCAAAAUGAACUGAUGAAAACAGUACAAAGGUUAAAAUACCACACGUGCUGUAGUGAAAGCUGCAGCUUUAUUGAUAAACUUAAGGACAAAAAACAAAAGGAUUAAUCACUCAUGUAACUGUGUCACUAUAUAUCAGUAUUGACAGGACCUCAGUUUGUAUCUCAGACCAGCACAGCUUCCGUUUUAAACACUUGAUGUACUCAGCUGCAUGAAGAGCAUAUGAGAUUUUCUCUAACACACUUAAAUAAAACCUGAUGAAGGUCAAAGGUCGUCACUUGUAUGUUGAACUACAAACUUGUCAUCUGGAAUUCUUUCACAGUUUUUGCAGAUAGUGUGUUAUUUACCAUAAAGUGAUUCAGAGUUAUUCAUACCAGAGUAACCAGAGAGGAUCACAUAUUUUUAAAUAUAUAACUUUCUACAGGACUGAAUAUAAUAUCUUUAUGUAAAAGUCUGGAGCCUCUGGGGAGAAUCCGAGUAUUUAUAACAUUACACAAAGCAAAGGUCUCCAUCACAGUGUUCAUGAAAUGCUGGGGUUUAUCCAUGUCCUGGAUCGGGCCUAUGGAGGAGUGCUGAAGAUUUCCCUGUGAGGGAGCUGCUAGUGAAGAUCAUGAAUCCUGCUUGAUCAAUGCGAUGAGCUUCAGUCUUCCUGGUGUUUCUUAAAUGAUGCCUCUUACAGCGGGUCAACAGAACUUCUGGCACAGGACAGCUGUGAUGAAAGAAAGGGAAGAAGUUUCUCCAAACCUCUGGACCCAGGAAACCCAGCUUGGUCCUGAUGGUCUCCCUCACUAGUUUCUCUCCAGGGUGAUUGUAGCUGUUGAUAUAAUAUGGACUCUAUUAUUAAAUGAAAAGAACAAAUUACAAUACUGAAACCUUCUGCUAAUGUUUUUAAAGUCUCCAUGUUACCAGGCUGUAG